RNAcentral lists this ribosomal RNA (253 nucleotides) under uncultured bacterium. RNAcentral describes it as "partial 16S ribosomal RNA". It matches the Rfam family "Bacterial small subunit ribosomal RNA", at positions 524 to 776 of the family's 1533-position model. The record is from RNAcentral.
CACGUAGGGGGCGAGCGUUGUCCGGAAUCAUUGGGCGUAAAGCGCGCGUAGGCGGCCCGGUAAGUCCGCUGUGAAAGUCAAAGGCUCAACCUUUGAAUGUCAGCGGAUACUGCCGGGCUAGAGUCCGGAAGAGGCGAGUGGAACUCCUGGUGUAGCGGUGGAAUGCGCAGAUAUCAGGAAGAACACCAACGGCGAAGGCAGCUCGCUGGGACGGAACUGACGCUAAGGCGCGAAAGCGUGGGGAGCGAACAGG